CUCAAUUGCCUGGAAGAAUCAUUCUAUUUCCGUCAGACAAAUAAGUUCACUUAAGCAUCUGAAAGAAAGAGAGAGAGAGAGGAAACUUGAACUGAACUGCCUGGAAAAAUCAUUCUAUUUCUCUCAAACAGUUGGGUGCACUCAACCUUCUGCAAGAGAGAGAGAGACAGAGAGCUAGAACAGGUUCUAACUCAACUGCCUAGAAGAAUCAUUCUAUUUCUCUCAGACAAUUGAGUGCACCUAAGUGUCUGAAAGAGAGAGAGAGAGAGAGAGAGAAUAGAGUCUAACUCAAUUGCCUGGAAGAAUCAUUCUAUUUCCGUCAGACAAAUAAGUUCACUUAAGCAUCUGAAAGAAAGAGAGAGAGAGAGAGAGAGGAAGCUUGAACUGAACUGCCUGGAAAAAUCAUUCUAUUUCUCUCAAACAGUUGGGUGCACUCAACCUUCUGCAAGAGAGAGAGACAGAGAGCUAGAACAGGUUCUAACUCAACUGCCUAGAAGAAUCAUUCUAUUUCUCUCAGACAAUUGAGUGCACCUAAGUGUCUGAAAGAGAGAGAGAGAGACAGAGAGAGAGAAUAGAGUCUAACUCAAUUGCCUGGAAGAAUCAUUCUAUUUCCGUCAGACAAAUAAGUUCACUUAAGCAUCUGAAAGAAAGAGAGAGAGAGAGAGAGAGGAAGCUUGAACUGAACUGCCUGGAAAAAUCAUUCUAUUUCUCUCAAACAGUUGGGUGCACUCAACCUUCUGCAAGAGAGAGAGAGACAGAGAGCUAGAACAGGUUCUAACUCAACUGCCUAGAAGAAUCAUUCUAUUUCUCUCAGACAAUUGAGUGCACCUAAGUGUCUGAAAGAGAGAGAGAGAGAGAGAGAGAAUAGAGUCUAACUCAAUUGCCUGGAAGAAUCAUUCUAUUUCCGUCAGACAAAUAAGUUCACUUAAGCAUCUGAAAGAAAGAGAGAGAGAGAGAGAGAGGAAGCUUGAACUGAACUGCCUGGAAAAAUCAUUCUAUUUCUCUCAAACAGUUGGGUGCACUCAACCUUCUGCAAGAGAGAGAGAGACAGAGAGCUAGAACAGGUUCUAACUCAACUGCCUAGAAGAAUCAUUCUAUUUCUCUCAGACAAUUGAGUGCACCUAAGUGUCUGAAAGAGAGAGAGAGAGAGAGAGAGAAUAGAGUCUAACUCAAUUGCCUGGAAGAAUCAUUCUAUUUCCGUCAGACAAAUAAGUUCACUUAAGCAUCUGAAAGAAAGAGAGAGAGAGAGAGAGAGGAAGCUUGAACUGAACUGCCUGGAAAAAUCAUUCUAUUUCUCUCAAACAGUUGGGUGCACUCAACCUUCUGCAAGAGAGAGAGACAGAGAGCUAGAACAGGUUCUAACUCAACUGCCUAGAAGAAUCAUUCUAUUUCUCUCAGACAAUUGAGUGCACCUAAGUGUCUGAAAGAGAGAGAGAGAGACAGAGAGAGAGAAUAGAGUCUAACUCAAUUGCCUGGAAGAAUCAUUCUAUUUCCGUCAGACAAAUAAGUUCACUUAAGCAUCUGAAAGAAAGAGAGAGAGAGAGAGAGAGGAAGCUUGAACUGAACUGCCUGGAAAAAUCAUUCUAUUUCUCUCAAACAGUUGGGUGCACUCAACCUUCUGCAAGAGAGAGAGAGACAGAGAGCUAGAACAGGUUCUAACUCAACUGCCUAGAAGAAUCAUUCUAUUUCUCUCAGACAAUUGAGUGCACCUAAGUGUCUGAAAGAGAGAGAGAGAGAGAGAGAGAAUAGAGUCUAACUCAAUUGCCUGGAAGAAUCAUUCUAUUUCCGUCAAACAAAUAAGUUCACUUAAGCAUCUGAAAGAAAGAGAGAGAGAGAGAGAGGAAGCUUGAACUGAACUGCCUGGAAAAAUCAUUCUAUUUCUCUCAAACAGUUGGGUGCACUCAACCUUCUGCAAGAGAGAGAGACAGAGAGCUAGAACAGGUUCUAACUCAACUGCCUAGAAGAAUCACUCUACUUUUCUCAAACAAUUAAGUGCACUUAAGCAUCUAAAAGAAAGAGAGAGAGAAUUGACUCUAACUCAACUGCCUAGAAGAAUCAUUCUAUUUCUCUCAGACAAGUGAGUACACUCAACCGUCUGAAAGAGAGAGAGAACUUCUAAUGCAAAGUUCAUCAGUCUCCCUCUAGUUUUUUUAGAUUAUUAGUUCAAUAUGGCCGUCGUCUUAUCAAAUAAAUGUCAUAGUUUAUAAUGCGCCUACAGAUGGCGCCUCAAUAGAACCUAAAAAAUCCCAAUAAUACCCUCUCGCUUCCACUCACUAAGCCGAAGUGCUGGAGUGAGGAGGACAUAAUUCCUUGAAUGAAGAUUCUUCUAAUU
This is a long non-coding RNA of Anthonomus grandis grandis, 2332 nucleotides long. RefSeq lists it as uncharacterized. Lineage: Eukaryota; Metazoa; Arthropoda; Insecta; Coleoptera; Curculionidae. The record is from RefSeq and is a predicted model, not a curated record. The transcript has 3 exons.